GAUCAUGAUAACUAGUCGAAUCGACAGGCCUUGUGCCGGCGAUGGCUCAUUCAAAUUUCUUCCCUAUCAACUUUCGAUGUUUGGGUAUUGGCCAAACAUGGUGGCAACGGGUAACGGAGGGUUAGGGCUCGACCCCGGAGAAGGAGCCUGAAAAACGGCUACUACAUCCAAGGAAGGCAGCAGGCGCGCAAAUUACCCAAUCCCGACACGGGGAGGUAGUGACAAUAAAUACUGAUACAGGGCUCUUUUGGGUCUUGUAAUCGGAAUGAGUACAAUUUAAAUCCCUUAACGAAGAACAAUUGGAGGGCAAGUCUGGUGCCAGCAGCCGCGGUAAUUCCAGCUCCAAUAGCGUAUAUUAAAGUUGUUGUGGUUAAAAAGCUCGUAGUUGAACCUUGGGCCUGGCUGGCCGGUCCGCCUCACCGCGUGCACUGGUCCGGCCGGGCCUUUCCCUCUGCGGAACCCCAUGCCCUUCACUGGGUGUGGCGGGGAACCAGGACUUUUACG
Molecule: ribosomal RNA, 504 nt
Filed under: uncultured fungus
Lineage: Eukaryota; Fungi
Description: SSU rRNA
Rfam family: Eukaryotic small subunit ribosomal RNA
Source: RNAcentral